RNAcentral lists this ribosomal RNA (400 nucleotides) under uncultured bacterium. RNAcentral describes it as "bacterial SSU rRNA". It matches the Rfam family "Bacterial small subunit ribosomal RNA", at positions 358 to 772 of the family's 1533-position model. The record is from RNAcentral.
GGAAUCUUGCGCAAUGGACGGAAGUCUGACGCAGCGACGCCGCGUGGGCGAAGACGGCCUUCGGGUUGUAAAGCCCGUUUUCUGGAGGAAGAGGGAGGACGGUACUCCAGGAAUAAGUGUCGGCUAACUACGUGCCAGCAGCCGCAGUAAUACGUAGGACACGAGCGUUAUCCGGAUUUACUGGGCGUAAAGCGCCUGUAGGCGGUUCUUCAAGUCGUUUGUGAAAGCCCUGGGCUCAACCUGGGGAGGCCAAGCGAUACUGGAGGACUUGAGGGUGACAGAGGGGAUGGAAUUUCCGGUGUAGCGGUAAAAUGCGCAGAUAUCGGGAGGAACACCGAGUGGCGAAGGCGGCUCCCUGGGUCACACCAGACGCUGAGAGGCGAAAGCUAGGGGGAGCGAA